This is a long non-coding RNA of Culicoides brevitarsis, 995 nucleotides long. RefSeq lists it as uncharacterized. The record is from RefSeq and is a predicted model, not a curated record. The transcript has 3 exons. NCBI's taxonomy places the organism in Eukaryota, Metazoa, Arthropoda, Insecta, Diptera, Ceratopogonidae.
CCUAACAAUUUUUUGCGUUUUUCUUUCAACAUCGAGUGCUUCUUCGAUCAAUCGCGUGAAACGGGAAGAACAAACUUCGAUGAAUCCCAUGUCAUUUUUUAAUUUUAUGGGACAACAACCUGAAAUGAUGAAAAAUUUUACACAAAAAGUCACCGAUAAUAAGCAGCAAUUCGAGCAAGCAAUGACCGGAAUAAAGGAACAAAUGAUGAAAGGAGCUCGCGAUUUAAGGGAAAAAAUUGACCAAGCAAUUAAUAUGGAAGAAAAUAUGCAAUAAAAAUUAAAUUUUAAUCAAUUUCAGUACAAAAUCCCACAAAUUCUAAUAAAUUAAAAUGAAUAAUUGUGAAAGUAGAUUAAAUUUUUUCUCAGUAUUGAAAGGGUAAAUAAUUGCACCUUAUCAUUUCAUUAUUUAUUUACAAUAGUAGUUCAUUACUGCAAUAAACUAUGUUUAUAUAAACAAAAUAAAAAAACGUUUCUCAGUAGUAAUUUGCGAUGAUCAUGCAUUUUAAAUCAUUACAAAGGCAUCAGUUGACUAGUAAAGAGCUCGUAAAAUGGCAAAAAUAUCGCUAGUUUUCGUAAUUUUAGCAGUUUGCUGCAUUUCACUCUCACUUGGUGCGCGGCAAAAGCGCGAAGAAGAGGAAACGACAACAGCAAAAUCUGUAACGCUGGAAGAUGUGAGCAACUGGUUUAGCGAAGUGUCCCAAAAAGCGAAAGAUUUCGUCAAUGAACAGCUGACCGACGAACGAAAACAAGAAUUCUCCAAGUUUUUUGAUGAUGCCAAGGAUAAAUUGACAAAGGGCGUUGGUGAUCUCAGUGAGGCUUUCAAAAAAGCUACAAAAUCCGGAGAUGCUGAAGCUGAAGGAAGUUCUUAAUUGUUUUUUAUAAUUUUAUCUUAGAAUAUACGAGAAGAGAAGAAAUCACUAUCAUGUGUGCGAAACAAAUUUUAUUGCUUAAAAUAUUAAUUAAUAAAAAAAUGGGAUAAAAUUUUCAUUUUUUAU